RNAcentral lists this ribosomal RNA (319 nucleotides) under Placochela nigripes. RNAcentral describes it as "partial 16S ribosomal RNA". Lineage: Eukaryota; Metazoa; Arthropoda; Insecta; Diptera; Cecidomyiidae. The record is from RNAcentral.
GUUUAUAAUUUAAAUCUUGUAUGAAUGAUUGUAUGAAAAAUAAUCUUUUUUAAUUAUAAUAAUUUAAUUUUAUAAUUAAGUUAAAAAGCUUAAUUAUUUUUAUUAGACGAGAAGACCCUAUAGAAUUUAAUUAAUUUUUUUUAUAAUAAUUUUAUUAAAUGUUAAUUUAAUUGGGGAGAUUUUAAAAUUUAAUAAACUUUUUAUUAAUAAAUCAAUUAUUUUUGUUUAUUUGAUCUUUUAUUAUUGAUUAAAAAUUUAAAUUACCUUAGGGAUAACAGCAUAAUUUUUUAAAUAAGUUCUUAUUAUUUAAAAAUUUUAU